Long non-coding RNA from Podarcis raffonei (Aeolian wall lizard), 1405 nucleotides. RefSeq lists it as uncharacterized. The transcript has 3 exons. NCBI's taxonomy places the organism in Eukaryota, Metazoa, Chordata, Lepidosauria, Squamata, Lacertidae. The record is from RefSeq and is a predicted model, not a curated record.
CGAGGGAGGAGUUCGGGGCCGGUCGCUCAGAGCGAGUCGCACGGCAGCGCUCCGCUUCGGGACGCGCGUUACCGAAGAAAAUAUACUUUUGAGCCCAGGAUUUUCCGUGCUUGCUUUGGGCCAGGGAACUGAACUGUAACAAAAAUGGAGAAAAGACCCAGAAAGCUUGUGUAAAUUGGAACCAAAUCAGAGGCAUAAUUUCUUGUACAUAUUGGGUCCAAGUUGGAACUCAGCAACAGAAGGUACAAAAAGCCAGAAUGCUGGUGUUAACAGGACAUCGGGACUUAUUUUUCUGACACAGAGGUUAUUUCCAUGGAGAAAACACAGCAUGUGUGAAGCAGCCUUUAUAGAUGGUGGAUACUGCACAAGUGAUAAAUUUUAGGCUGGUGAUCAGUGACUAGGCCAUCUGUUUUCAAUAUGCAUUAUUAUAAGUGCAUAAUGUAGGGUGAAUGUUCUCAAGUCACAACUGCCCAAAGAUAAGCCCGUAAUGCAAGAUAUUUUAGUAAACAGAAGGAAUGAAGAACCUCCUGCAUUAUCAUGCCAAUGAAAAAAACAUGAGGAUUUCCCACAGGCAGCAGUGCAGGGCUAGCCAAUGUGGUGACUUCCUCAUGUUGACAGAGUACAAGCCCAUCAGAAGUCCCGAAAACAUCCGGAGGGCACCAUGUUGGCUAUCCCAGCAGUUGUGGAUGAACCUUAAGUAAGAUUUUAACACGUUAACAGUGUAGAACAAGUUAGAGAGCAACUGUUACAGCAAGUUUCCUAUGAAAAUUGGGAUAUAAUGGACCACUUGGAGAGACCUGGGACCAUCUGACUACCUUCUUGUUGUGUUUGUCAUUCACUUGAUCCUCAUGGAAAAGAACUUGGGCAGCUUGCAACACCAUAGCAGCAGGUAAGCUUAGCCGAGAACAGGUGACAAAGAGAUAGCACUUCAGAACAGCAGCAGCGAAGAUGACCUAUUUACCUAUAGAUAGCCUCGCUUUGCAUCAGUGGAGUACUGGAAAUAGAGCUGGGAAUAAAGCAUAGCGUUUGCAAAAAGCACAGCCUCGGUUGCGUGCUUUUACAACUUUUUUUAACUCUCAGUGACUGAACCUUGCAGGAACCUCACAUUUUCCUGGCUCAGCUUGAACUUCUUCAACUCUACAUUUCUUGGCUUGUAUCCCAAGAUUCUUCAAGCCCCAGAAAUGGAGACACUCAACAAAGUUUUAAAUACAGAUGUGGGGGGGGGGGAUGAGAAGAGAUGGGGGAAAGGCUUCUUGCUCCACCCAGGGUCAAGGGGAUGCAUGUUAAGUACAUACUACCAGUCAUGUGCAUUAUUAUUUUUUUGUUUAAAGCAGCUUUUAAACAAAAGUUCUGAAGUCUCUUGGGAGAAGAGCAGAUACUCAUAAAUGACAAUUGUUUCUUCCUA